GUCGGAAGGAAGGGGGUUCGAUCCCCUCCAGCUCCACC
Molecule: small RNA, 38 nt
Filed under: uncultured Pycnococcaceae
Lineage: Eukaryota; Viridiplantae; Chlorophyta; Pseudoscourfieldiophyceae; Pseudoscourfieldiales; Pycnococcaceae
Description: partial transfer-messenger RNA
Source: RNAcentral